Molecule: long non-coding RNA, 377 nt
Organism: Cygnus atratus (black swan)
Lineage: Eukaryota; Metazoa; Chordata; Aves; Anseriformes; Anatidae
Exons: 3
Source: RefSeq, a predicted model, not a curated record
UCCUCAGUCUUUCUGAAUAAAAGACUUUGCUGAGACAGCCACAAAUCCCUGAAAAGAAAUCACUGUCAUUUGGGAGCCUGAGGCUGAUUUUUAUCAAUUCCUAGGCACAAUGAAGCAGAUCCUGGACAGAAGACAGCCAGGUACCAGCAGAAUGUAAGUGUUCCCAAGGCAGCUGCUUGUAGAGGAGUGGUGCGGUGAUGUCUAGGGCUCAGCAUCACACAGACUUCCUUGAAGCUGCUCCUUCUCUCCUUCUUCUUUUUUUCCCAUAGGAUCCUGGGAAAAAGGGGUGCUUGCCAUAACUCAGGGAGAGUUUGGACUCGCAGCAAAAAUGGGUGGGUGGAAAAGCUGUUUUCUGUUUGCUUUUUUUUUUCUACUCC